This 255-nucleotide small RNA is filed under the name Pseudomonas sp. NFACC36. RNAcentral describes it as "Pseudomonas sRNA P17". It matches the Rfam family "Pseudomonas sRNA P17". The record is from RNAcentral. RNAcentral also lists the same sequence under 6 other names. Lineage: Bacteria; Pseudomonadati; Pseudomonadota; Gammaproteobacteria; Pseudomonadales; Pseudomonadaceae.
GCAAGGAACAAGUAGCGCGCUCCAGCGAUUACCUCGAUGGUCAAUUGACCUUUCGUGAGCGCCUGAUGGUGCGCCAUCACCUGAUGUUCUGCCCCAACUGCCGGCGUUUUAUCCGCCAGAUGCGCCUGAUGCAGGCGACGCUCAAGCGUCUUCCCCAACCCCCCAUUCCCGAUCUGGAUCACCUCGCCGAAAAGCUUGCCGCCGAGCGUCGCCGAAACAUCCGCUGAGUCCUGAGAGCCCCUGUGGGAGCGAGCU